ACUAAUAGCAAUGGGAAUGGUGCAGUAUUCUAGUCGAUUCUCCGUUUCUGAAGGCAGGGCUAAAAAUCUGCCAAAGGGCACAUCGAUGAAGUUUCUUGUGGCGGCUUGAGGCGCCCAGCCUUGGGUCGGUGCUGGAAGUUAAGGUUGUAGGGCGAUCCACAAUGGCAUGUGGGCGUUGACCCUACUUCCGCGGAGGCCCAUCUCUGUCGUGCUUUUUUAGCUAAAGAACAUGGCGGACUGGGGUAUGAACCUGUUAAGUGGAUCAAUUGGGAUUCCAACUGACAGCGUAGCCUGCCUUGAGUGAUGACCGAGGGGAUUACAGCAAAUCGCUGACUAAUAUUUAGGUGGCCACUAAAUAUAUUUAGCCGUCUGUAUGAAAUUGGUGUUGCAAAAGAGGCUAGGAAACGGUUAAGAGUUGUCGAGGAAAACUCCUAGACUGUUCAUAAGACAUUUAUUAGGGAUUAUAGUGCGUGCUGAGUGGCAAUCCAGUCUAGCAAGCGGUAACGUUGCUAAGGUGCGAUUAAAGGGGAACCGCCAAGAUGGCAACAUCUGGUUUGUACUUGGGAAAACCUACUGGACCUAAGUCGCAGUUUUUACUUAAUAAAUGACCAUUCCAUUACAUAUUUAU
This 628-nucleotide small RNA is filed under the name Halolactibacillus halophilus. Lineage: Bacteria; Bacillati; Bacillota; Bacilli; Caryophanales; Bacillaceae. The record is from RNAcentral.